Molecule: ribosomal RNA, 492 nt
Filed under: uncultured bacterium
Lineage: Bacteria
Description: partial 16S ribosomal RNA
Rfam family: Bacterial small subunit ribosomal RNA
Source: RNAcentral
AUUGAACGCUGGCGGCAGGCCUAACACAUGCAAGUCGAACGGUAACAGGGAGAAGCUUGCUUCUUUGCUGACGAGUGGCGGGCGGGUGAGUAAUGUCUGGGAAACUGCCCUAUGGAGGGGGAGAACUACUGGAAACGGUAGCGAAUACCGCGUAACGUCGCAAGACCAAAGGGGGGGACCUUUUGGCCUCUUGCCAGCGUGUGUGCGCAGAUGUGGGAUUCGCUAGGUGGGGGGGUAACGGCCCACCGAGGCGACGAUCCGUAGCUGGUCUGAGAGGAUGACCAGCCACACUGGAACUGAGACACGGUCCAGACUCCUACGGGAGGCAGCAGUGGGGAAUAUUGCACAAUGGGCGCAAGCCUGAUGCAGCCAUGCCGCGUGUAUGAAGAAGGCCUUCGGGUUGUAAAGUACUUUCAGCGGGGAGGAAGGGAGUAAAGUUAAUACCUUUCCUCAUUGACGUUACCCGCAGAAGAAGCACCGGCUAACUCCGUG